RNAcentral lists this long non-coding RNA (656 nucleotides) under Homo sapiens (human). RNAcentral's name for it is "NAPA antisense RNA 1 (NAPA-AS1)". The record is from RNAcentral. Lineage: Eukaryota; Metazoa; Chordata; Mammalia; Primates; Hominidae.
AGCUGCCGGCGUUGCCCUCUCCCAAGAUGGCGGCCAGGUCGCCUGCUCGGGCCUCCCAGGCGACUUUGCCCCACUGCGCCCGCGCUCUCUUCUCCUUUCCAUUUCUGGACCAAGGGGCUGCCAUAAGGAGUCUGUGACUAGAGAUGGGAGGUGGUGGCCACGGCCUCUCGCUGUAUGCUGUGUGGAAGGUCGAAUCAUCAUCAUCAUAAAACUUAAUAUUGCCCUUAUGUGCCAGGAACUACUAUCUCAGCAAUGGAGAUGUGGUGCUUGGCCGCAAUCGUGAAUCGGCCCUGGAGGGGACACAGGAAGGGGCUGCCUGCGACUCAUGACCUCCUGCGUGCCUGCCUGCUGACCUAUGACCCUUCAAGUUCCCACCCCUCAGCCACGCCUGUGAGGAGGGUCUUGUUUUGUCGCCUACGCUGGAGUGCAGUGGUGUGAUCACAGCUCACUGCAGCCUCAACUUCCUGGACUCAAGCGAUUUUCCUGCCUCAACCUCCCAAGAACUAGGACCCCAGAUCCCCAUGGACAAGGCACUUGCAUGAAUUGUGAGGCUCAUGGAGUUGGGGUCGGACAACACAGAGCCGGCUCCCUCCAGGAGCUGCAUGUCCAGAGAGGGAAACAGGAUGUGGACAGCAAGAAUGAAUACAUGCAGACCA